This 497-nucleotide ribosomal RNA is filed under the name uncultured bacterium. RNAcentral describes it as "partial 16S ribosomal RNA". It matches the Rfam family "Bacterial small subunit ribosomal RNA", at positions 28 to 507 of the family's 1533-position model. The record is from RNAcentral.
GAUGAACGCUGGCGGCGUGCCUAAUACAUGCAAGUCGAGCGAACGGACGAGAAGCUUGCUUCUCUGAUGUUAGCGGCGGACGGGUGAGUAACACGUGGAUAACCUACCUAUAAGACUGGGAUAACUUCGGGAAACCGUAGCUGAUACCGGAUAAUAUUUUGAACCGCAUGGUUCAAAAGUGAAAGACGGUCUUGCUGUCACUUAUAGAUGGAUCCGCGCUGCAUUAGCUAGUUGGUAAGGUAACGGCUUACCAAGGCAACGAUGCAUAGCCGACCUGAGAGGGUGAUCGGCCACACUGGAACUGAGACACGGUCCAGACUCCUACGGGAGGCAGCAGUAGGGAAUCUUCCGCAAUGGGCGAAAGCCUGACGGAGCAACGCCGCGUGAGUGAUGAAGGUCUUCGGAUCGUAAAACUCUGUUAUUAGGGAAGAACAUAUGUGUAAGUAACUGUGCACAUCUUGACGGUACCUAAUCAGAAAGCCACGGCUAACUACGUG